GAAUCAGGAAUAAGGAUCUUAUAUCUAAAGAUCAAAUUAUAAAGUAGUGAUAUGAAAAGUAACAUGUGGUGUAGCCUAUUAGAGGCAUAGUAUAGGGUGAACUUGAACUUUUGUGCAAUCGUUUCAAGGAAUUAAUAUAAACCCUAUUUUUGCUAACUGAUGUGUUGAAUGAUUGUCUGAUUUUCUUGUAUGGUGACUUGGUCGACUGCGGGACAAUACUUGGGACGAGUACGAGUAGGUGUGAAAGGUAGUAGAUGCAUAUGCUACCGGAAGCACAGGACUCGCACUUGGAUCAGGGAAAGUCACAAGGUUACCAAGAAGCUAGUGAUCGAUUCCAUUUUAUUCUGGUAUGUCAUUACCAUUGUUUCGGUAAUGACUAGUAAGAUGGUUCUUGUUCCGACCUUAGUGGUCAUGUUUAAAUUGAGUCCGACUACGAGGAGUUUGUUACGUGGUUCAUGGAACCAAGUUUGAUGUAACAUCUGACUUAAGUCAGAGGGUUGAAGUUAAUGCGAUUGAUAGUGUCGCGCUCGUUGUUAAAAGGAGUUUGUAGGUAGAAAUGCUACAUGCUGACAUGUGAUUAAAUCACAUUAGAAUAUGAAGGAAGGUAUAUUCCAUUCUGGAAUUUAACUUUAUUAAAGACCGAGUCUAAGCGUCGCAUCGUGCGAUGAGAGCUCAAUAGAGCACGACCCAUCGGUUUGUUACAAUAGAUAAAGGAAAGUAUUUAUCCUGAGAAGAAGAAGGAGUCCACAAUGAGGACUUAUUUGGUAACUUGAAGGUUACGAUUGAAAGUACAACAUAGUACGAUAAGCAGAUGCAAGAUUGGGCAUCGUCUGCGGUCAAGAAAGCCAUAGAGUUAAAUACUCUUUCGAGGAAACAUAGAAUUUACGGUUAUUACCUAGGAUGAAGAGAUAACGUGUGGAAUCAUUAUGCAAGUCCUAUUUCGUUGAUGAUUCCGGGACGUAAUCAUCCUAAGGGGGAGAUAAUUGUAACGCCCGUAGAUCAGGGCUAGUCAAUUUAGAGACGAUAAGCGUCAAAAAUGACUUUUUGAUGGAAGAUUAUCUAGAAGGAUUAAUCUUAACCAAGUUGUAGUAUAUGUCACAAGGUUUCCGUGCAUAUAAAGAACGCCAAAAUCCGAGUUAUAACGAAGAAGUUAUGACCUGUCGAAGUUUCGCGACAGAACCGGCACGACACAGCGCGACGUAAAAAGUGAAUUUACGUUAGAGCGAUAUUUAGCCUUAGCAAUCUAAAUGAAAAUCGAAGAUCUCGUUGUUGGUAUCGAAGCGAUAAAAAGUUAGGCGAGAACGGACGUCAAACGAAGAAGUUAUGAAUUUAUAACGAAAGUUUAUGUCGCGGCCUAUUAAAAAUAAUUAAUAAAAAUAAAGUCAAAAUUAGCCGACGGAGUCUAAACGAAAGUUGUAGAGCGUAGUCUCACCUUCGCGUGGAUAUAAAGAACGUCGAAAACGGAGUUCGUAUGAAGAAGAUAUGAAUUUCCGAAGAUUAUUAAAUAAUUUGUAUUUAUUUUUAAUCUUUAAUUCGGAAGCAUUAUCCGAAGGAGUCACCGGUCUGAUCCGAGGUACGCCCCGCGUACUCGAGUACGCCCCUCAUACUCCAAAGGUGUCGACAUCGCAGCAAGUGGCCUCGAAUACGUUAGCAGUGACGUUUCUCGGACCAGUACGCCCCGCGUACUCCGAGGCUCCAGCCUCUAUAUAAAGGAUCCGAAGACAGCCUUCUUUGUUGUUCAUUUUCUUCUCUUCUCUCUAGUCUUUUGCAUCGUUUUUCGUGCCGAAGCUAUCCCGAAGCCCCGGUAUUAUACUCUAGCCCCGAGGCAAGUCCCGAGAUCCCGAAGAUCCCGAGAAGUGCGGUUCCCGAGUCGAAGCUCUGCCCGCGAGAAGUUCGAUUUUUGAAGAGAUCUUCCAGAUCUGCUGAGGAUUACUACUUCUGCAAGUCGUAGUGCUGUCCGAUCAUCUUCUGAUCAAGUGAGUGUAUACUACCUUUCACAAACACGAUAAUAAUACAAGUAUGGUUCGAGUGUAUUAAGUAUAUUGCUGUUUAUACGUGUGAGUGUGUAGUUACUUUCUUCUGACACAUAAAUAUUAAGUAUGUUCUAUAAAAUACGUGCUACGUGUAUGAGAUAAAGUUGUUUAUAUGUGUGGGUGUAUAGUCCCUUUCAUAAACACGGGUAUAAUACAAAUAUUGUUUGAAUGUAUCACGUAUAUGUUUGGGAGAAAGAGUGGUUACUUCCUUCCAACACAUAAAUGUGAAGUAUUUGUUAUAAAAUACGUGCUAUGUGUUUAUAUAUUGUUGUUUAUUUGAGAUGAGUAUGGAAUGAAUGUCUUAUAUAGUUUUUAAAUGAGUUAAACUGUAUAUGUAUUCCAUAUCUACAAAUAUGUUGGGUAGAACAUGGGUAGAUGAGAUAGUUGGUAUGUGAUAAAAUGAUGAUGUAUGUAAGAUGAUCAAGAAUGAUAUUGAUAGAUGCACCAAUUAGAGAAUGUCAUAAUACUAGCAGAUGCGCUCAAGCAUAGUAUUGGUAGAUGCACCAAAGAGAAAGUGACAUAAUACUAGUAAAUGCACUUAAGUAUAGUAUUGGUAGAUGAAACUAAAAGAGCAUGCCAUAAUGCUAGCAGAUGCGCUUGAGAAUAAUAUUGGUAGAUGCACCAAGUAGUGAAUGUCGUGAUCUUGGCAGAUGCGCCAAAUAGAGAUUGUCAUAACAAUAGCAGAUGCGCUUAUAGGAUAAUCUUGGCAGAUGCGCUUAUAGGAUAAUGUCGGCAGAUGCGCCUAAAAGAGAAUGUCAUAAACCUGGCAGUCGCGCCUCAUAGUGUAUGACGUAAUCCUGGCAGAGGCGCUUAAAGGAUAAUGUUGGCAGAUGCGCCUUAUGUAGCAAUGGAAGUUUGUGUAAAUUCCUUAGGUCAAUCCUUAGGAAUGAAGGAAUGACGAGUAGUUGAAUUCCUAGGGUAAAAUCCUAAGAAACAUAAUAGGGAUGAGUAAUUGAGUUGAUUGUUUGAUGGUUGAAUAUAAUAAUUGUAUUAUUGUGGGUUGAAAACCCUAUAUGCUCACCAGGCUCCCAAGCCUGACCCACUCAGUUUUCUUUGCAUUACAGGUAAUGGCACAAGAGUAUAAGUUGGUGGACUUGACGAGAGAUUUUGGAUUAUAGGCCAGUAGUUAUGAAUAACUGUUGUAAGGUCUAUUUAUUAUUGUUUAUGCUUUUGGUCUGUAUCGGAACAUGACAUCCCGAGGUUUUAUUAUUUAAUGAAAAUACAUUCUCUUUGAGAAACGUUUUGAUAAAUGGUUAUCAUAUUUUAUUUUGGGAACAAAUUCCGCAACCGUUUUCUUUAAACGAUCACUCUGAUUUAUAAAACAAAGCAUAAACAAAUCGGUCUUUUCUGGCCGUGAAAAUGGGGAUGUCACAGUUGGUAUCAGAGCAUUAGUUUAAGCGAACUAGGAAUUUGUAGGAAAUUUCUAGACUUAAACUUAGAAUGCUAAGUAAUGAUUGUGAGGAGUGUGUCUAAAAUAUGUUAGGUAGUACACCUAAAUUGACACAAGCACUAGUUUAUUUUAGGAAUGAUGCCUAAAAUGCUUUUAUGUGCUAAAUGUUUUGUGUGAUAGCUAAAUUGAUGCUAUUAUUUGUUCGGAUCUAUGGUCUGUUGCCGACCGGAUCUGGAAACCUUAUGUGUUUAGGAUUCUAAGCGUACGUCUACGAUAUUAGAACUAGCAUGUAAACGUUUCGGAGUGAUAAGGGCGAUGUGAAUAUCUAUCGUGAUUGAGGAUAUAAUUUCACCUUAUUUGGUGUGUAGAUCAAAAAUGGUGAGAACAAGAAGUGGAGUUGGAAAUGCUGAUGAAAACAGGAAUCAACCACCAGUGAUUGAGCAAAUACCUGUCGUAGCAGCAGCACCUGAGCCAAUAACCAUGGCUGGUGUGCAAAUGAUGAUUCAGACGAUGUUGGAUCGUCAGAUGGAUGAAACUAGACGGUUGCUUCAGCAGAAUCGUGAAGAACUGUCAAUUCGAGUGGAAGAGCCUGAAUUAAAUGAAGGGCACUCGGAAGGUGGAAACUUCAGUGGGUCUGUUGGUCAAGCCAACCCACCGAUAGUUAGGCAAAACAACCAGAAUGGAAGGAACGAUGGAAUGGGAUGCAAGUAUAAGGAUUUUCUGACUUGCAAACCAUCGACCUUCACUGGAAAGGAAGAUCCGAUCGGAGUUAUGGAUUGGAUAUCGGAAAUGGAGCUAGCCUUCAUGACUUGUGGCUGCAGAGGCAAGUUGCAGACUACCUAUGCAGUGCGUCAGUUCAGGGGUGGGGCUGUUCGUUGGUGGAACACUUUGGGGAAGAUCCUAAGUCCUAAUGAGCCACUGCAACUGACCUGGGCAGAGUUCUUGGUGCAAUUCAAGCGCAAGUUCUGCUCUGCUCAAAAUCUAUUGGAGUUGGAGAAUAAGUUUCUGAUAUUGAAGAAAGGCAGCAUGUCAGUGGAUGAAUACACUAAUGCUUUCACAGACAAGAUGGAGUUUGCUUUACGCAUCGUUCCAGACGAACUGACAAAAGUCGAUCGGUAUGCCAAGGGACUCCCUUGGGAGUAUGCGGUGCCAGUGCGUCAGGCACCUACUCUAGAGGCAGCUAUUUGGGCUGCCAAGUCUGUUGAGAAUAUGAUCAAGGGGAGGACUGACAGUAAGGUUGAAGUUGGUGAGAAGAGAAAGUUAGAAGGAACUUCAGGUUCUAAUGAGAAAAGAAAAUCCUCGAAGUCUGGAGGAGGAGGAAGGGAUGAGGCACGGUGGUGCGAUAAGUGCAAGAAGAAGCACUCAGGAAAAUGUGGCGUGGAAGUGACAUGUUUCAAGUGUGGAAAGCAUGGGCAUUACGCCGAUGAAUGUAUUUUCAACAAAAAGGUGUGUUACGAAUGUAACGAAGAGGGGCACUUCAAGCAAGACUGCCCAAGGAAAAAUCAAACAGCAAGGCUAGAGGCGCCGCCAAAGCUAAAGGCAAGAGCAUUUCAAAUGAUCCUUGAUGAAGCAGAUGGCAAUGCAAGGAAUCAGGAAUAAGGAUCUUAUAUCUAAAGAUCAAGUUAUAAAGUAGCGAUAUGAAAAGUAACAUGUGGUGUAGCCUAUUAGAGGCAUAGUAUAGGGUGAACUUGAACUUUUGUGUAACCGUUUCAAGGAAUUAAUAUAAACCCUAGUUUUGUUAACUGAUGUGUUGAAUGAUUGUCUGAUUUUCUUGCAUGGUGACUUGGUCGACUACGAGGCAAUACUUGGGACGAGUAUGAGUAGGUGUGAAAGGUAGUAGAUGCAUAUACUACCGGAAGCACAGGACUCGCACUUG
RNAcentral lists this long non-coding RNA (5299 nucleotides) under Lactuca sativa (garden lettuce). RNAcentral describes it as "long non-coding RNA (LSAT_LNC002222)". The record is from RNAcentral. Lineage: Eukaryota; Viridiplantae; Streptophyta; Magnoliopsida; Asterales; Asteraceae.